UGGAGCCGAGGGGAGUCGAACCCGCAUCAACGCUGUGAUAGGGCGUUGUUUUACCAUUAAACUACGGCCCC
RNAcentral lists this transfer RNA (71 nucleotides) under Candidatus Hakubella thermalkaliphila. Its description in RNAcentral is "Candidatus Hakubanella thermoalkaliphilus tRNA-Asp". The record is from RNAcentral. Lineage: Bacteria; Bacillati; Actinomycetota; Candidatus Hakubellales; Candidatus Hakubellaceae.